RNAcentral lists this long non-coding RNA (376 nucleotides) under Monodelphis domestica (gray short-tailed opossum). Its description in RNAcentral is "lncRNA (ENSMODG00000044439.1)". Lineage: Eukaryota; Metazoa; Chordata; Mammalia; Didelphimorphia; Didelphidae. The record is from RNAcentral.
AUGAAGGAACAGAAGCUGGAAAAGGAGAAGUGACUCCUCCCAGAGUGACAGAGGUUCCUCGACUGGUUCAUGACAGCGUGGGAACUGAGGCCAAGGGUUCUAGCCUCCCGACCAAGUGCUCCUUCUGAUGAGAAACUUCCUCUCUGCACUAAAUAACAACUCUCACUUCCUGAGAUCUCUGACUUCUGUGGAACACUUUCCCCAGAGCAGCCCCUUCCGCCACAGCCGGGGAAGGCUGAAACAGCAGCACAGGCUGAGCUUGCCACCUGGGGGCCGCUGGGAAGAAGUGCUGCGCCAGGCCGGCCAGAGACUCCGAAGAGCAGGCGGCAAGAGCUGUGAGGCCUCGGACCCAGCUGCCUAGACCGAUGGGUUUGGU